AGCAGUAGCCGCGGUAAUACGGAGGGAGCUAGCGUUGUUCGGAAUUACUGGGCGUAAAGCGCGCGUAGGCGGUUACUCAAGUCAGAGGUGAAAUCCCAAGGCUCAACCUUGGAACUGCCUUUGAUACUGGUUGUCUUGAGUCCGGGAGAGGUGAGUGGAACUGCGAGUGUAGAGGUGAAAUUCGUAGAUAUUCGCAAGAACACCAGUGGCGAAGGCGGCUCACUGGCCCGGAACUGACGCUGAGGCGCGAAAGCGUGGGGAGCAAACAGGAUUAGAUACCCCCGUAGUCCCUGUCUCUUAUAC
Molecule: ribosomal RNA, 303 nt
Filed under: uncultured bacterium
Lineage: Bacteria
Description: partial 16S ribosomal RNA
Rfam family: Bacterial small subunit ribosomal RNA
Source: RNAcentral